GGUCUGGUAGUUCAGCUGGUUAGAAUACCUGCCUGUCACGCAGGGGGUCGCGGGUUCGAAUCCCGUCCAGACCG
Molecule: transfer RNA, 74 nt
Organism: Formosa agariphila KMM 3901
Lineage: Bacteria; Pseudomonadati; Bacteroidota; Flavobacteriia; Flavobacteriales; Flavobacteriaceae
Rfam family: tRNA
About the family: Transfer RNA (tRNA) molecules are approximately 80 nucleotides in length. Their secondary structure includes four short double-helical elements and three loops (D, anti-codon, and T loops).
Source: Rfam